This is a long non-coding RNA of Benincasa hispida (wax gourd), 607 nucleotides long. RefSeq lists it as uncharacterized. The record is from RefSeq and is a predicted model, not a curated record. NCBI's taxonomy places the organism in Eukaryota, Viridiplantae, Streptophyta, Magnoliopsida, Cucurbitales, Cucurbitaceae.
CCAACCAUCCCCCAUCAUCUCUUCUAUUUAUACGUGUCUUCCUCUCCGCAUUAUCUUGAGAAAUCUCCACUGCCUCCUCUAAUUUGGAUUGCUAGUGAGUCAUUCUUCCCAUCUUCCCUUCUAUUUAUUUUUCCUCACUUUUGAUUUUAAUCAUUUGGAUGCUUUGCGUUUUGUAAUAUGUUUGUUUUCCUUUUUUACUUCAAUGUUUUUACAUUCAUACAAGGGUGACCACGAAUUGAACAAUUGUGCUAAAAGGGGUACAUUUUCCUUUCCAUUUUUUUUUAUAAUAAAGUAGAUAUUUCGUUAAUAUGGUUUAUUAUUUUUGUUAGAUUACAUCUCUAUACACCCUCCAUCUAUUCUUGGUGUUUUGAACUCUAGUCACUCCGAACCUAAUCAAAACGGCCCAAAUUAAUUACACAUUUCUACAUUUAAUUUAGGUUAUAUUUAUUUUCACAUGUAUUGAGACAUUUGUUGGGGACAUUAUUAUUUGCUUGUAGGUAGUUCUUACACAUCAUAUUAUUCGGGGUGAGUGUAAUACAUAUUUAAUAAGAAAUUACAAUUUUUUUCUUACUACAUCAUAUAAAUGGAAUCAAUUAAUAUUUUUCUA